Molecule: ribosomal RNA, 327 nt
Filed under: uncultured eukaryote
Lineage: Eukaryota
Description: partial 18S ribosomal RNA
Rfam family: Eukaryotic small subunit ribosomal RNA
Source: RNAcentral
CCCUUAGAUGUUCGGGGCCGCACGCGCGCUACACUGAAUGAAUCAGCGAGUGUAUGUCCUAGGCCGAAAGGUCCGGGUAACCCGUUGAACCUCAUUCGUGAUUGGGAUAGGGACUUGCAAUUGUUUCCCUUGAACGAGGAAUUCCCAGUAAGCGCAAGUCAUCAGCUUGCGUUGAUUACGUCCCUGCCCUUUGUACACACCGCCCGUCGCUACUACCGAUUGAAUGGUCCGGUGAAGCCUCGGGAUUGUGGUUAGUUUCCUUCAUUGGAAGUUAGCCGCGAGAACUUGUCUAAACCUUAUCAUUUAGAGGAAGGUGAAGUCGUAACA